GACGAACGCUGGCGGCGUGCUUAACACAUGCAAGUCGAACGGAAAGGCCCUGCUUUUGUGGGGUGCUCGAGUGGCGAACGGGUGAGUAACACGUGAGUAACCUGCCCUUGACUUUGGGAUAACUUCAGGAAACUGGGGCUAAUACCGGAUAGGAGCUCCUGCUGCAUGGUGGGGGUUGGAAAGUUUCGGCGGUUGGGGAUGGACUCGCGGCUUAUCAGCUUGUUGGUGGGGUAGUGGCUUACCAAGGCUUUGACGGGUAGCCGGCCUGAGAGGGUGACCGGCCACAUUGGGACUGAGAUACGGCCCAGACUCCUACGGGAGGCAGCAGUGGGGAAUAUUGCACAAUGGGCGGAAGCCUGAUGCAGCAACGCCGCGUGCGGGAUGACGGCCUUCGGGCUGUAAACCGCUUUCGCCUGUGACGAAGCGUGAGUGACGGUAAUGGGUAAAGAAGCACCGGCUAACUACGUGCCAGCAGCCGCGGUGAUACGUAGGGUGCGAGCGUUGUCCGGAUUUAUUGGGCGUAAAGGGCUCGUAGGUGGUUGAUCGCGUCGGAAGUGUAAUCUUGGGGCUUAACCCUGAGCGUGCUUUCGAUACGGGUUGACUUGAGGAAGGUAGGGGAGAAUGGAAUUCCUGGUGGAGCGGUGGAAUGCGCAGAUAUCAGGAGGAACACCAGUGGCGAAGGCGGUUCUCUGGGCCUUUCCUGACGCUGAGGAGCGAAAGCGUGGGGAGCGAACAGGCUUAGAUACCCUGGUAGUCCACGCUGUAAACGGUGGGUACUAGGUGUGGGGUCCAUUCCACGGGUUCCGUGCCGUAGCUAACGCUUUAAGUACCCCGCCUGGGGAGUACGGCCGCAAGGCUAAAACUCAAAGGAAUUGACGGGGCCCCGCACAAGCGGCGGAGCAUGCGGAUUAAUUCGAUGCAACGCGUAGAACCUUACCUGGGUUUGACAUGGAUCGGGAGCGCUCAGAGAUGGGUGUGCCUCUUUUGGGGUCGGUUCACAGGUGGUGCAUGGCUGUCGUCAGCUCGUGUCGUGAGAUGUUGGGUUAAGUCCCGCAACGAGCGCAACCCUUGUUCACUGUUGCCAGCACGUUAUGGUGGGGACUCAGUGGAGACCGCCGGGGUCAACUCGGAGGAAGGUGGGGAUGACGUCAAGUCAUCAUGCCCCUUAUGUCCAGGGCUUCACGCAUGCUACAAUGGCUGGUACAGAGAGUGGCGAGCCUGUGAGGGUGAGCGAAUCUCGGAAAGCCGGUCUCAGUUCGGAUUGGGGUCUGCAACUCGACCUCAUGAAGUCGGAGUCGCUAGUAAUCGCAGAUCAGCAACGCUGCGGUGAAUACGUUCCCGGG
This 1343-nucleotide ribosomal RNA is filed under the name uncultured bacterium. RNAcentral describes it as "16S ribosomal RNA". It matches the Rfam family "Bacterial small subunit ribosomal RNA", at positions 28 to 1378 of the family's 1533-position model. The record is from RNAcentral.